RNAcentral lists this ribosomal RNA (253 nucleotides) under uncultured bacterium. Its description in RNAcentral is "partial 16S ribosomal RNA". It matches the Rfam family "Bacterial small subunit ribosomal RNA", at positions 524 to 776 of the family's 1533-position model. The record is from RNAcentral.
UACGUAGGGUGCAAGCGUUGUCCGGAAUUAUUGGGCGUAAAGAGCUCGUAGGCGGUCUGUCGCGUCGGCUGUGAAAACCCGGAGCUCAACUCCGGGCCUGCAGUCGAUACGGGCGGACUCGAGUUCGGCAGGGGAGACUGGAAUUCCUGGUGUAGCGGUGGAAUGCGCAGAUAUCAGGAGGAACACCGGUGGCGAAGGCGGGUCUCUGGGCCGUUACUGACGCUGAGGAGCGAAAGCGUGGGGAGCGAACAGG